CAGCAGCCGCGGGAAAACGUAGGGUGCGAGCGUUAAUCGGAAUUACUAGGCGUAAAGCGUGCGCAGGCGGUUUUGUAAGACAGAUGUGAAAUCCCCGGGCUUAACCUGGGAACUGCAUUUGUGACUGGCGAGCUAGAGUAUGGCAGAGGGGGGUAGAAUUCCACGUGUAGCAGUGAAAUGCGUAGAGAUGUGGAGGAAUACCGAUGGCGAAGGCAGCCCCCUGGGCCAAUACUGACGCUCAUGCACGAAAGCGUGGGGAGCAAACAGGAUUAGAUACCCGCGUAGUCCCUGUCUCUUAUAC
This 301-nucleotide ribosomal RNA is filed under the name uncultured bacterium. Its description in RNAcentral is "partial 16S ribosomal RNA". It matches the Rfam family "Bacterial small subunit ribosomal RNA", at positions 509 to 807 of the family's 1533-position model. The record is from RNAcentral.